This is a non-coding RNA of Meleagris gallopavo (turkey), 1599 nucleotides long. Lineage: Eukaryota; Metazoa; Chordata; Aves; Galliformes; Phasianidae. The record is from RefSeq and is a predicted model, not a curated record.
CUGACCCAGUGCACCUGUGCAAUUUAAGUAAUCCAAAGGGUAGAUUGGUAGUCUCUGCUUUGGAAUUGUUUAGGUGAAAUGAUAGUAAGAAAGAAGUAAUAUUAAGGAACCAUGACUUCCAGUUUACAGACUACGUGGCAAGGUGAUGGGUGAGAGACUUGGAAAUGAGUGUUUGGAGCUGUGUUGAAAAUUGUCCCAGGCAGCCAGUGGAGACCUGAACUUCUUGCCACUAAGAGGCAUUGCCAAUUUGAAUAGACUGUCAGUUCUCCUCUUGGACUAUGUUUCUACAGUUAAGUGGACCAACAGCUUGCAGAUGAAGGAGAGAGCCCUGGGUGCCCUUGCGCCUUCAACCAGAGAGCUGUGUUUGGGAGUGAAUGGGGGAAUAUGCAAGAGUCAAAGCGGUGUGGUUCUUGGGCAUCAUGAGGAUAACAUACACACAAUUUAAAAAACAACAAUCAAAAAACUCCCACCUGAAUUAGACUUAGAGCUGGAGAUAUGAGUCUAUUGUAAGUUUAGUCUCCUCUUUCCACCAACUCUCAGUUAGUAGGCUUUGAUGUGGGAAUAUAAUUGCAGUGUGCCCACUUUAGAAGCUGUUUAUAUUGUUUAAGCUUCUGUUACACUUAAGACUUUGGAAAUUGAUUAAGAAAAUACUUUUAAUACCUCCUAUUUUAAGUUGUGAGGACUUGGAUGUACAGAUACACUGUUUUACAGAUAGCAUUUUAAAUUGUUUUACUGCAGCUCUGACUUUUCUUCUCCUAGCUUUUCUUCAUCUUCUUUCACCUUCUUUUUUGCUCAGAACUUUAUUUGCAGGGGAAAUUUUUUGCAUGGAUGAAGCACAUUUAAAAUUUGACCUAAUUUGCCAUGUGUUAAUUUGUUAUUCACACUUUAAAUCUUGCUCUCGACUGAUAGAAUUAUUUGUUUUCCGCACGGAAAAGGAUUUUACAUAGUUGAAAUGUUCUUUGUUAGAAGAGAGUUGUUUUGGCUUUCUUUUUAAUGCUCUCGGAUUUCUAGGCCGAUUAUUAGUUUUCUCUGGGUGGGGAAAAGCCUGUGUUUGAAUGGCUUCUCCUUUUAAUCCAAAUAAUCCUAGUCUCUAAAGAGAUUAACAUAAACACACAUAUACUCUCUUACUUUUGCCUGUGUGUCAGUGGUUUGGUUAAUUACGCUGUAUGCCUUCUCUCCAUUUAUAAGAAAGCAAAACAGAAAGCAAACUAAAACUACUCUGAAAAAGCAAAGGCCAGUUGAAACAAUAACUGUUGGCAGAGGAAAAUACAAAGACUGGUUUAGAAAUAGAUUGUUGCUCACAUUGGAGAGAGCCCAAGUUUCUCUUAGAGAGCCUUUGAAACUUGUUGUGUUGAUGUUUUUGCGCAGUGAAAUUCUAAGCUGGCUAAUGUUCCUGAGGAACACAUUUCAUGUAAAAUAACCACAUGUUAUAAGUGUUGAUCUGAGAACUGCUCAUUUGUGAGAUACAGCAAACAGAUAUCAUCCUCUAAUUGAUUGUGCUUAUGCCACUAAAGUACAAAAUUCAUCUCAUCUGUUUUGUUGGCUCUGUAAACACUAACAGAAGAAUUAUUCAACGGGGAUAGCUAUUAAAAUUUCUUU